RNAcentral lists this ribosomal RNA (253 nucleotides) under uncultured bacterium. RNAcentral's name for it is "partial 16S ribosomal RNA". It matches the Rfam family "Bacterial small subunit ribosomal RNA", at positions 524 to 776 of the family's 1533-position model. The record is from RNAcentral.
UACGGAGGGAGCUAGCGUUAUUCGGAAUUACUGGGCGUAAAGCGUGCGUAGGUGGUUUGUUAAGUCUGAUGUGAAAGCCCUGGGCUCAACCUGGGAAUUGCAUUGGAUACUGGCAGGCUAGAGUGCGGUAGAGGGUAGUGGAAUUCCCGGUGUAGCAGUGAAAUGCGUAGAGAUCGGGAGGAACAUCUGUGGCGAAGGCGACUACCUGGACCAGCACUGACACUGAGGCACGAAAGCGUGGGGAGCAAACAGG